RNAcentral lists this ribosomal RNA (266 nucleotides) under uncultured bacterium. Its description in RNAcentral is "partial 16S ribosomal RNA". It matches the Rfam family "Bacterial small subunit ribosomal RNA", at positions 88 to 354 of the family's 1533-position model. The record is from RNAcentral.
CCGGCGACCGGCGCACGGGUGAGUAACACGUAUGGAACCUGCCCGCAGCAGGGGGAUAAGCGGAAGAAAUUCCGUCUAAUACCGCGUAACAACGUUGGGAGGCAUCUCCCGAUGUUUAAAGAUUUAUCGGCUGCGGAUGGCCAUGCGGCGCAUUAGCUAGUCGGUGGGGUAACGGCCCACCGAGGCGACGAUGCGUAGGGGUUCUGAGAGGAAGGUCCCCCACACUGGUACUGAGACACGGACCAGACUCCUACGGGAGGCAGCAG